GAUGAACGCUGGCGGCGUGCCUAAUACAUGCAAGUCGAGCGAACAGACGAGGAGCUUGCUCCUCUGACGUUAGCGGCGGACGGGUGAGUAACACGUGGAUAACCUACCUAUAAGACUGGGAUAACUUCGGGAAACCGGAGCUAAUACCGGAUAAUAUAUUGAACCGCAUGGUUCAAUAGUGAAAGACGGUUUUGCUGUCACUUAUAGAUGGAUCCGCGCCGCAUUAGCUAGUUGGUAAGGUAACGGCUUACCAAGGCAACGAUGCGUAGCCGACCUGAGAGGGGGGUCGGCCCACCAGGACCGGAGACACGGCCCAGACCCCACGGGGGGGCAGAGGAGGGGAAUCUUCCGGAAGGGGGGAAAGCUUAACGGGGCAACGCGGGGGGGGUGAGGAAGGUUUUCGGAUUGAAAAACUUUUUUAUUGGGAAAAAAAAAAUUUGUAAGUAACUAGGCCCCUUUGGGAGGAACCUAAGAAGAAAGCCCCGGCUAAUUCCGG
RNAcentral lists this ribosomal RNA (496 nucleotides) under uncultured bacterium. RNAcentral's name for it is "partial 16S ribosomal RNA". It matches the Rfam family "Bacterial small subunit ribosomal RNA", at positions 28 to 506 of the family's 1533-position model. The record is from RNAcentral.